UACGUAGGGGGCGAGCGUUGUCCGAAGUUACUGGGCGUAAAGCGCGCGUAGGCGGGGGGUUAAGUGAGAGAUGAAAGGCUGGGGCUCAACCUCAUGCAGUGCCUCUCAUACUGGCCUUCUUGAGGGCGGUAGGGAGAAGUGGAAUGGCUGGUGUAGCGGUGAAAUGCGUAGAUAUCAGUCGGAACACCGGUGGCGAAGGCGGCUUCUUGGGCCGUUCCUGACGCUGAUGCGCGAAAGCUGGGGGAGCGAACGGG
RNAcentral lists this ribosomal RNA (254 nucleotides) under uncultured bacterium. RNAcentral describes it as "partial 16S ribosomal RNA". It matches the Rfam family "Bacterial small subunit ribosomal RNA", at positions 524 to 776 of the family's 1533-position model. The record is from RNAcentral.